GAUGAACGCUGGCGGCGUGCCUAAUACAUGCAAGUCGAGCGAACAGACGAGGAGCUUGCUCCUCUGACGUUAGCGGCGGACGGGUGAGUAACACGUGUAUCACCUACUUAUAAGACUGGUAUAACUUCGGGAAACCGGAGCUAAUACCGGAUAACCUGUUGAACCGCAUGGGUCAACGGUGAAAGACGGUCUUGCGGUCACGUAUCGCUGGAUCCGGGCCGCAUUAGCUAGUUGGUAAGGUAACGGCCUACCAAGGCUAGGAUGCGUAGCCGAAGUGAGGGGGUGAUCGGCCACACUGGAGCUGGAACAGGGUCCAGACUCCUAAGGGAGGGAGCAGUAGGGAACCUGACGCAAUAGGCGAAAGCAUGACAGAGUAACGCGACGUGAGAGGAGAAGAUGUUGCGAGCGGGAUACUCGGUUUUGAGGUAAGAACAAAUGUGGACGUAACCAUGCACGUCUUGACGGUACCUAAUAAGAAAGCAACGGCUAACUACGUG
This 497-nucleotide ribosomal RNA is filed under the name uncultured bacterium. RNAcentral's name for it is "partial 16S ribosomal RNA". It matches the Rfam family "Bacterial small subunit ribosomal RNA", at positions 28 to 507 of the family's 1533-position model. The record is from RNAcentral.